Molecule: ribosomal RNA, 813 nt
Filed under: uncultured Bacillus sp.
Lineage: Bacteria; Bacillati; Bacillota; Bacilli; Caryophanales; Bacillaceae
Description: partial 16S ribosomal RNA
Rfam family: Bacterial small subunit ribosomal RNA
Source: RNAcentral
CGAGCGANUGAUUAGAAGCUUGCUUCUAUGACGUUAGCGGCGGACGGGUGAGUAACACGUGGGCAACCUGCCUGUAAGACUGGGAUAACUUCGGGAAACCGAAGCUAAUACCGGAUAGGAUCUUCUCCUUCAUGGGAGAUGAUUGAAAGAUGGUUUCGGCUAUCACUUACAGAUGGGCCCGCGGUGCAUUAGCUAGUUGGUGAGGUAACGGCUCACCAAGGCAACGAUGCAUAGCCGACCUGAGAGGGUGAUCGGCCACACUGGGACUGAGACACGGCCCAGACUCCUACGGGAGGCAGCAGUAGGGAAUCUUCCGCAAUGGACGAAAGUCUGACGGAGCAACGCCGCGUGAGUGAUGAAGGCUUUCGGGUCGUAAAACUCUGUUGUUAGGGAAGAACAAGUACGAGAGUAACUGCUCGUACCUUGACGGUACCUAACCAGAAAGCCACGGCUAACUACGUGCCAGCAGCCGCGGUAAUACGUAGGUGGCAAGCGUUAUCCGGAAUUAUUGGGCGUAAAGCGCGCGCAGGCGGUUUCUUAAGUCUGAUGUGAAAGCCCACGGCUCAACCGUGGAGGGUCAUUGNNNNUGGGGAACUUGAGUGCAGAAGANNNNNCGGAAUUCCACGUGUAGCGGUGAAAUGCGUANAGAUGUGGAGGAACACCAGUGGCGAAGNGGCUUUUUGGUCUGUAACUGACGCUGNNNGCGAAAGCGUGGGGAGCAAACAGGAUUANAUACCCUGGUAGUCCACGCCGUAAACGAUGANNGNUAAGNGNUANANGGUUUCCGCCCUUUANNGCUGCAGCUAACGCAUU